UAGGACAGAACAUUAACCACAUCAUAUUACAACUAAAAUCACAUUAUGAAGCUUUUUUCACACACUUUAUCGAUCAAUUUCAAAUUAAUAAUUACCUAAUUUAAUGUUUUUCGCCUCCAAUCCCAAAAUCAAGUUCGGCUGCUUAGCCAAUGAAAAAUAUGGAAAGAUACAUACAGCUCAUGUAGUGACAGCUGUGUCCGCCAUCUUGGAUGUCCGUGUAAAAAGACUAGGUACUAGUCAUGCAAACUAUUCUGACAAAUUCUUUACUUUAUUAUACCUUUUAUCUUUAUUCACUUUACCGACCACAGCCACUAUAGCUUAAUUCUAUUUAUAUGUCUUGGACAUAAUUUCUAGUGAAAUUGUAAACGAAAAUUAAAGAGUUUUAAUGACUCACCACCACCGCCUUAAAUUACUAAA
Non-coding RNA from Paramuricea clavata, 417 nucleotides. NCBI's taxonomy places the organism in Eukaryota, Metazoa, Cnidaria, Anthozoa, Malacalcyonacea, Plexauridae. The record is from the annotation of a GenBank genome assembly.